Molecule: small nuclear RNA, 107 nt
Filed under: Notamacropus eugenii (tammar wallaby)
Lineage: Eukaryota; Metazoa; Chordata; Mammalia; Diprotodontia; Macropodidae
Source: RNAcentral
GUGUUUGCUUUGGCAGCACAUAUACUAAAAUUGAAAUGAUACAGAGAAGAUUAGCAUGGCCCUGGAGCAAGGAUGACAUGCAAAUACGUGAAAUGUUCACUUUUUUU